Molecule: ribosomal RNA, 407 nt
Filed under: uncultured bacterium
Lineage: Bacteria
Description: partial 16S ribosomal RNA
Rfam family: Bacterial small subunit ribosomal RNA
Source: RNAcentral
GACGAACGCUGGCGGCGUGCUUAACACAUGCAAGUCGAACGAAGUGGCGAACGGGUGAGUAACGCGUAAUCAACCUGCUCAUCAGAGGGUGACAACAGUUGGAAACGACUGCUAAUACCGUAUACUGAAGGAGGGGAUUGCGUCGGAUUAGCUAGUUGGUGGGGUAAAGGCCUACCAAGGCGACGAUCCGUAACUGAUCUGAGAGGAUGAUCAGUCACACUGGAACUGAGACACGGUCCAGACUCCUACGGGAGGCAGCAGUGGGGAAUAUUGGACAAUGGACGAAAGCCUGAUCCAGCCAUGCCGCGUGUGUGAAGAAGGUCUUCGGAUUGUAAAGCACUUUCGGCGGAGAGCGUUACCCACAGAAGAAGCACCGGCUAACUCCGUGCCAGCAGCCGCGGUAAUUC